Molecule: non-coding RNA, 874 nt
Organism: Cinara cedri
Lineage: Eukaryota; Metazoa; Arthropoda; Insecta; Hemiptera; Aphididae
Source: the annotation of a GenBank genome assembly
UUAUUAUUGCGUACAGGCCACUUAACGGGAUUGUCCGCCCGCGGAAAACGAAAAUAAAACCCGCCUACGGUGUUCUAUUUUGACGCGAGAGCUCGGUAAUAUUUAUACCGUUCGCAAAUCGAGACAGGUAAUAAUAUACUUUAUGUAAAUUAGAGUGUCGCGUAAAAUUGAUUAACGUAAUAAUAUGAUACUAUUUUGACGCGACAGUGACAUUACGAGUAUGGCGGAAAAAUCACAUGAGGUUCGGGUUUUAAAAUUCUCGACUAUUGAUUUUAUACCACUCGGCGGGAAUUUUAUUAUGACAAUGUAUUGCCCGGCAGAUAAUAUAUUUAUGUAUUCGUAAAUGCGCAUUACGGCACGUAUUAUAACUGGGCCCCCGUGUAAAAGUUAUGCAUACAUAUAUGUAUCUAUAUUAUGUCUAAACGUACAGCACGUAUAUAUUUUUCAUUAGUUGCCAUUUUACCGCGGGUAACUGUUUCCGUGUCCUCGGCAAGAUUAUCGGAUAAUUUACGCAGGAAAUAAAAUUGAAAAUUCUUCCUGGUCACCAGUAUUCUGCGGGACGCGAGAGCGUAUAAAUCGAAUGUUUCGUGGUAUUUAAAUAAAUUGUGUUACAGGGGCAUUUGAACGGGUAGAAGAUAUUAGCCACCUAUCAUAUAUUCUAAGAUUCGGAAUGAAACGAAGGACCUAUUGGCUUUACUACGAUGAAUGUUUUUGAGGUGCGUUACCCCAGCAUAACCGUGUCAAAAUGUCGACUUUAAAACCUACUGGCGUUACGUAACGCAUUAUUUAACAAAUUCGUAACUGCAAACAAAAUUUCGGUAACCGCCAUAGAACGCAACAAACUCGGUGUUUCACUAGUGGCGGUACGUUAGUA